Molecule: transfer RNA, 108 nt
Filed under: Nanobdellota archaeon
Lineage: Archaea; Nanobdellati; Nanobdellota
Also listed under: 1 other name
Description: tRNA-Thr
Rfam family: tRNA
About the family: Transfer RNA (tRNA) molecules are approximately 80 nucleotides in length.
Source: RNAcentral
GCCUCUGUAGCUCAGCUGGUACUUCGUGCAAACGAAGGUUUACGCGCAGCAGAAAAGAGCGUUACCUUGGUAAGGUAAAGGUCCCGAGUUCAAAUCUCGGCAGAGGCU